This 834-nucleotide unclassified non-coding RNA is filed under the name Hevea brasiliensis (rubber tree). The record is from RNAcentral. Lineage: Eukaryota; Viridiplantae; Streptophyta; Magnoliopsida; Malpighiales; Euphorbiaceae.
GAAUUGAAAAAGUUUAAAGGAGUCUAUCAGUGGCAAAAUGGUAACUUUUAGCCGUUAACCUAUAUACCUGAUAUUGCAGGUCAAAGAUUUUUAUGAAACAAAAUGAAAGUAAGAAUGUUCAUGGGAUUCUUCGAAGUUAAGGACCAAAAUUGAACAAUCCUCAAAGUUGACGCACGAGCGGUGUAGUUAACCCUCAUGUCUAGGGAUGAGCAAAUGUCAAUUAUAAUUGAACAAAAUUGUUCUAAUUUGGUUUUUCAGUUCGGUUAAUUUAAUAAAAAACUGAACUAACCGAACCAAUCGAACUAAGUCCAACCUUCUCACAACCUGUUCAAGCCUAGCUUAUUUAAGCCCAACUUGUCUUGUCUCCCCAAUCCAAAUUCCCCUUCAUCACAACUCCAAAAUUCCAUACGUCACCAAUGCUAAAGGGCAGAGAGAGGAUACUGAGAAUCAGAGAGCAUCAAGAGGAAGAGCAAAUGAGGAUCAGUUCCUAUGGUCUUUACGCAAUGAAAUCCCUCACCACUCCAGUCGACACCAUCACAAGACAUUGCCAGGUGCCAUCUCAAUGAAAUCGCUCAUCACCAUCAUGGAAUCCUUCCCUCCCUCCUCUUUCCUCGACUCUUCGACUUUAUUGUUGUGGCCUAUUCUGUCUAAUCUCUCCUUAUUUCUUCUUGACAAGUCCUCAAGCUGAUAUAUGUCAGCAGCAACCUAUCGGCUAUUGCCUACAAUGGAUUGUUGCCAUAUUUCAAAUUAGGUUCAUUUCAUUUUCUUCUCUUUGCUAUAUUUUCAAAAUUUUUUCCUAUUGUACUGAUUCAUUGUUUUAAUUGUUGAUUUUGU